This 431-nucleotide ribosomal RNA is filed under the name Pseudomonadota bacterium. RNAcentral's name for it is "Proteobacteria bacterium partial 16S ribosomal RNA". It matches the Rfam family "Bacterial small subunit ribosomal RNA", at positions 355 to 777 of the family's 1533-position model. The record is from RNAcentral. Lineage: Bacteria; Pseudomonadati; Pseudomonadota.
UGGGGAAUAUUGGACAAUGGGGGGAACCCUGAUCCAGCCAUGCCGCGUGUGUGAAGAAGGCCUUAUGGUUGUAAAGCACUUUAAGCGAGGAGGAGGGUACUGGUAUUAAUACUACCAGGUACUGGACGUUACUCGCAGAAUAAGCACCGGCUAACUCUGUGCCAGCAGCCGCGGUAAUACAGAGGGUGCGAGCGUUAAUCGGAUUUACUGGGCGUAAAGCGUGCGUAGGCGGCUAAUUGAGUCGGAUGUGAAAUCCCCGAGCUUAACUUGGGAAUUGCAUUCGAUACUGGUUAGCUAGAGUGUGGGAGAGGAUGGUAGAAUUCCAGGCGUAGCGGUGAAAUGCGUAGAGAUCUGGAGGAAUACCGAUGGCGAAGGCAGCCAUCUGGCCUAACACUGACGCUGAGGUACGAAAGCAUGGGGAGCAAACAGGA